UACGAAGGGGGCUAGCGUUGUUCGGAUUUACUGGGCGUAAGACGCACGUAGGCGGAUUGUUAAGUCGGGGGUGAAAUCCUGGAGCUCAACUCCAGAACUGCCUUCGAUACUGGCAAUCUCGAGUCCGGAAGAGGUAAGUGGAACUCCUAGUGUAGAGGUGGAAUUCGUAGAUAUUAGGAAGAACACCAGUGGCGAAGGCGGCUUACUGGUCCGGUACUGACGCUGAGGUGCGAAAGCGUGGGGAGCAAACAGG
Molecule: ribosomal RNA, 253 nt
Filed under: uncultured bacterium
Lineage: Bacteria
Description: partial 16S ribosomal RNA
Rfam family: Bacterial small subunit ribosomal RNA
Source: RNAcentral